GGUGAGUAACACGUGGGUGAUCUGCCCUGCACUCUGGGAUAAGCCUGGGAAACUGGGUCUAAUACCGGAUAGGACCAUGCUUUAGUGUGUGUGGUGGAAGUUUUUCGGUGUAGGAUGAGCCCGCGGCCUAUCAGCUUGUUGGUGGGGUAAUGGCCUACCAAGGCGGCGACGGGUAGCCGGACUGAGAGGUUGGUCGGCCACAUUGGGACUGAGAUACGGCCCAG
RNAcentral lists this ribosomal RNA (224 nucleotides) under uncultured Actinomycetales bacterium. RNAcentral's name for it is "partial 16S ribosomal RNA". It matches the Rfam family "Bacterial small subunit ribosomal RNA", at positions 105 to 334 of the family's 1533-position model. The record is from RNAcentral. Lineage: Bacteria; Bacillati; Actinomycetota; Actinomycetes; Actinomycetales.